Molecule: ribosomal RNA, 520 nt
Filed under: Streptomyces sp. SS 64
Lineage: Bacteria; Bacillati; Actinomycetota; Actinomycetes; Kitasatosporales; Streptomycetaceae
Description: bacterial SSU rRNA
Rfam family: Bacterial small subunit ribosomal RNA
Source: RNAcentral
GCAGUCGACGAUGAACCACUUCGGUGGGGAUUAGUGGCGAACGGGUGAGUAACACGUGGGCAAUCUGCCCUUCACUCUGGGACAAGCCCUGGAAACGGGGUCUAAUACCGGAUAACACUGCCACGGGCAUCUGUGGUGGUUAAAAGCUCCGGCGGUGAAGGAUGAGCCCGCGGCCUAUCAGCUUGUUGGUGAGGUAAUGGCUCACCAAGGCGACGACGGGUAGCCGGCCUGAGAGGGCGACCGGCCACACUGGGACUGAGACACGGCCCAGACUCCUACGGGAGGCAGCAGUGGGGAAUAUUGCACAAUGGGCGAAAGCCUGAUGCAGCGACGCCGCGUGAGGGAUGACGGCCUUCGGGUUGUAAACCUCUUUCAGCAGGGAAGAAGCGAAAGUGACGGUACCUGCAGAAGAAGCGCCGGCUAACUACGUGCCAGCAGCCGCGGUAAUACGUAGGGCGCAAGCGUUGUCCGGAAUUAUUGGGCGUAAAGAGCUCGUAGGCGGCUUGUCACGUCGGGUGUG